AUGCGCCGCAUAGAUGCCGGUGUCGACUACACCGAUUAUGACUCCUUCGCCAUAGUUGGUGUCCCUCCACUGUUGGAAUUGAUCUACGGUUAUAACAAACUGAGACAAAGAAGGGGAGGAUUUGCAUCCCCAGUACAUGCCCUGAUCGGGGGCAUUGACCCAACUUUUGGUUUUGGUCCCUGUCCCCUUCGCACCACUUACAAAAUGAGGAGGUCGUACCCCUUGGGGGUAACACACGUACGGGUUAGCACCCGGUUACUCCUAACAGCCGAUCCUGAAAGGGUGCUUAAGGGGAUCAGAAGACCACCACCACCGCCGGCCACCUCCAGGUCCGUGCCGGCGACAUCCUUCGUGUCUGCUACAUCGCCUGCUGAUGCCCUUCCUCCCGACGAUCUUCUCACUGCUGGAGAUGCUAAGGUGGAGCCAGGGGCUAUCCUGUUAAUGGAUCAAGAUAAUCACGCAAUGAACAUUAAAAAUGAUGCCAUUUUGUUUGACAUAGACGAACCUUAUGCAAAGAACUUUCCCACAUGGAGAGUGGAGAUCAUUGUCUCAUGUAAGGAAUCUCCCAAUGUUUUUCUGCCACUAAGGUUGAAGGAUGUUAAUCAUGAUGAUAAGGCAGACAUUGGGAGAGAUCUCAAGACGCAUGUGCCAUCAUGCACAUUACUAAUGCAAAGGAGACUAAAGUCAAAACUAUUGGAUUUAUUCCACUAG
This 711-nucleotide ribosomal RNA is filed under the name Triticum aestivum (bread wheat). RNAcentral's name for it is "partial small subunit ribosomal RNA". The record is from RNAcentral. Lineage: Eukaryota; Viridiplantae; Streptophyta; Magnoliopsida; Poales; Poaceae.